Molecule: ribosomal RNA, 429 nt
Filed under: Bacteroidota bacterium
Lineage: Bacteria; Pseudomonadati; Bacteroidota
Description: Bacteroidetes bacterium partial 16S ribosomal RNA
Rfam family: Bacterial small subunit ribosomal RNA
Source: RNAcentral
UAGGGAAUCUUCGGCAAUGGGGGGAACCCUGACCGAGCAACGCCGCGUGAGUGAAGAAGGUUUUCGGAUCGUAAAGCUCUGUUGUUAAGGAAGAACGAGUGUGAGAAUGGAAAGUUCAUACUGUGACGGUACUUAACCAGAAAGGGACGGCUAACUACGUGCCAGCAGCCGCGGUAAUACGUAGGUCCCGAGCGUUGUCCGGAUUUAUUGGGCGUAAAGCGAGCGCAGGCGGUUAGAUAAGUCUGAAGUUAAAGGCAGUGGCUCAACCAUUGUAGGCUUUGGAAACUGUUUAACUUGAGUGCAGAAGGGGAGAGGGGAAUUCCAUGGGUAGCGGUGAAAUGCGUAGAUAUAUGGAGGAACACCGGUGGCGAAAGCGGCUCUCUGGUCUGUAACUGACGCUGAGGCUCGAAAGCGUGGGGAGCGAACAGG